RNAcentral lists this ribosomal RNA (435 nucleotides) under uncultured bacterium. RNAcentral's name for it is "partial 16S ribosomal RNA". It matches the Rfam family "Bacterial small subunit ribosomal RNA", at positions 29 to 507 of the family's 1533-position model. The record is from RNAcentral.
AGCGAACGCUGGCGGCAGGCUUAACACAUGCAAGUCGAGCGGGCACUUUCGGGUGUCAGCGGCGGACGGGUGGGUAACGCGUGGGAACGUGCCCUCUGGUUCGGAAUAACUCAGGGAAACUUGAGCUAAUACCGGAUACGCCCUUUUGGGGAAAGGCUUGCUGCCGGAGGAUCGGCCCGCGUCUGAUUAGCUAGUUGGUGAGGUAACGGCUCACCAAGGCGACUAUCAGUAGCUGGUCUGAGAGGAUGAUCAGCCACACUGGGACUGAGACACGGCCCAGACUCCUACGGGAGGCAGCAGUGGGGAAUAUUGGACAAUGGGCGCAAGCCUGAUCCAGCCAUGCCGCGUGAGUGAUGAAGGCCUUAGGGUUGUAAAGCUCUUUUAUCCGGGACGAUAAUGACGGUACCGGAGGAAUAAGCCCCGGCUAACUUCGUG